CCCGAGUUGUAAUUUGCAGAGGAAGCUUCUGGCGAAGUGCUGUCCGAGUCCCCUGGAACGGGGCGCCGCAGAGGGUGAGAGCCCCGUACGGAUAGAUGCUAAGCCUGUGUGAAGCUCCUUCGACGAGUCGAGUAGUUUGGGAAUGCUGCUCAAAAUGGGAGGUAAAUUCCUUCUAAAGCUAAAUAUUGGCCAGAGACCGAUAGCGCACAAGUAGAGUGAUCGAAAGAUGAAAAGCACUUUGAAAAGAGGGUUAAACAGCACGUGAAAUUGUUGAAAGGGAAGCGCUCAUGACCAGACGUGCGUCUGGCUGAUCAUCCGGUGUUCUCACCGGUGCACUAUGCCUGACGCAGGCCAGCAUCGGUUUUGGCGGGGGGAUAAAGGUCUAGGGAACGUGACUCCCCCGGGAGUGUAUAGCCCUAGGCGCAAUGCCCC
This 432-nucleotide ribosomal RNA is filed under the name Sordariomycetes sp. Its description in RNAcentral is "eukaryotic LSU rRNA". It matches the Rfam family "Eukaryotic large subunit ribosomal RNA", at positions 137 to 576 of the family's 3401-position model. Lineage: Eukaryota; Fungi; Ascomycota; Sordariomycetes. The record is from RNAcentral.